This 89-nucleotide transfer RNA is filed under the name Candidatus Omnitrophota bacterium. RNAcentral's name for it is "tRNA-Leu". It matches the Rfam family "tRNA". Rfam says of the family: Transfer RNA (tRNA) molecules are approximately 80 nucleotides in length. Their secondary structure includes four short double-helical elements and three loops (D, anti-codon, and T loops). Lineage: Bacteria; Pseudomonadati; Candidatus Omnitrophota. The record is from RNAcentral.
GCCGGGAUGUUGGAAUUGGCAGACAACAGGGACUUAAAAUCCCUUGGGUGUUAUCACCUGUGCCGGUUCGAGUCCGGCUCCCGGCACCA